RNAcentral lists this ribosomal RNA (290 nucleotides) under Acaulospora brasiliensis. RNAcentral describes it as "partial 18S ribosomal RNA". It matches the Rfam family "Eukaryotic small subunit ribosomal RNA", at positions 1543 to 1830 of the family's 1831-position model. The record is from RNAcentral. Lineage: Eukaryota; Fungi; Glomeromycota; Glomeromycetes; Diversisporales; Acaulosporaceae. RNAcentral also lists the same sequence under 1 other name.
UGGGUAAUCUUUUGAAACUUCAUCGUGAUGGGGAUAGAGCAUUGCAAUUAUUGCUCUUUAACGAGGAAUCCCUAGUAAGCGUGAGUCAUCAGCUCACGUUGAUUACGUCCCUGCCCUUUGUACACACCGCCCGUCGCUACUACCGAUUGAAUGGCUUAGUGAGACUCUCGGAUUAAGUCUAAGGAAUCGGAAACGGUUUCUUUUUCUCGAGAAGUUUGUCAAACUUGGUCAUUUAGAGGAAGUAAAAGUCGUAACAAGGUUUCCGUAGGUGAACCUGCGGAAGGAUCAUU